UUUGCAAUGUGUAGCCGGGUGGUGUCACAACCCCAUCUCAGCAUUCUCUGCUAUGUCUCUCUCUGCUUGAUUGGUCUGCCCUCUGCAUCCUCAGUCUCCCUCCAUGUGUCUGGUUCAGAAGGCCCCUUGGUGGUGGAGAAAGGAGCGGACGCCUUGCUGCCGUGUUUCCUGAGCCCGCCCCUUGACGCCUCACACCUGUCAAUCACCUGGCAUCGCCUGCUGAUUGGCUCUUCCGACGUGCCAAUCACCAGUGCUUACAAUGUGAGAGGUCUUGACCAAAGGCCAGCCACUUCAUCACCUGCUGGUCCUCAUGAUGGUGCUAAACGGU
Engraulis encrasicolus (European anchovy) is the source of this 328-nucleotide long non-coding RNA. RefSeq lists it as uncharacterized. The transcript has 3 exons. The record is from RefSeq and is a predicted model, not a curated record. Lineage: Eukaryota; Metazoa; Chordata; Actinopteri; Clupeiformes; Engraulidae.